RNAcentral lists this ribosomal RNA (492 nucleotides) under uncultured bacterium. Its description in RNAcentral is "partial 16S ribosomal RNA". It matches the Rfam family "Bacterial small subunit ribosomal RNA", at positions 29 to 507 of the family's 1533-position model. The record is from RNAcentral.
AGUGAACGCUGGCGGUAGGCCUAACACAUGCAAGUCGAACGGCAGCACAGUAAGAGCUUGCUCUUACGGGUGGCGAGUGGCGGACGGGUGAGGAAUACAUCGGAAUCUACUUUUUCGUGGGGGAUAACGUAGGGAAACUUACGCUAAUACCGCAUACUACCUACGGGUGAAAUCAGGGGAUCUUCGGACCUUGCGCGAUUGAAUGAGCCGAUGUCGGAUUAGCUAGUUGGCGGGGUAAAGGCCCACCAAGGCGACGAUCCGUAGCUGGUCUGAGAGGAUGAUCAGCCACACUGGAACUGAGACACGGUCCAGACUCCUACGGGAGGCAGCAGUGGGGAAUAUUGGACAAUGGGCGCAAGCCUGAUCCAGCAAUACCGCGUGGGUGAAGAAGGCAUUCGGGUUGUAAAGCCCUUUUGUUGGGAAAGAAAAGCAGCAGGUUAAUACCCCGCUGUUCUGACGGUACCCAAAGAAUAAGCACCGGCUAACUUCGUG